Molecule: RNA transcript, 1393 nt
Organism: Suricata suricatta (meerkat)
Lineage: Eukaryota; Metazoa; Chordata; Mammalia; Carnivora; Herpestidae
Gene: CD47
Gene name: CD47 molecule
Exons: 11
Source: RefSeq, a predicted model, not a curated record
GCGCGCGUGCGCGCGGCCAGGCAGCCUGGGCGGCGGGUCCUGUCUGUGACGGACGGCGGCGGCCGGUCCUGCCUGUGACGGCGGUGGCGGCAGAUCCUGCUUGUGACUGUUUCGGCGGCUGCUCCAGACACCUGCGGCGGCGCCGGCGGCGACCCCAUGGCGGCCGCAAAGAUGUGGCCCCUGGUGGUGCUGCUGCUGGGCUCGGCUGGCUGCGGUUCGGCUCAGCUAAUAUUUAACAUAACCAGAUCUGUAGAGUACACUGCUUGCAAUGAAACUGUUAUCAUCCCGUGCUAUGUUAACAAUGUGGAGGCCACAGACAUUAAUGAAAUGUAUGUAAAGUGGAAAUUUAGAGGAAAAGACAUUUUUACCUUUAAUGGAGCUGAAGAAAAGAUCACUCGUGACAAUAAGUUUAAGAGUACAAAAAUCAUACCACAAAAAUUACUAAAUGGCAUUGCCUCUUUGGAGAUGAACAAGGAAGAGGCUGUUGUAGGAAACUACACUUGUGAAGUAACAGAAUUAAGCAGAGAAGGCGAAACCAUCAUAGAACUAAAAUAUCGUAUUGUUUCAUGGUUUUCUCCAAAUGAAAAUAUCCUCAUUGUCAUUUUCCCAAUUUUGGCUGUACUUCUUUCUUGGGGACAGUUUGGUAUUGUGACACAUAAGUAUAAAUCCAGUCUUAUGAAGGAGAAAACCAUUCUUUUAUUUGUUGGUGGACUAGUGCUCACUAUAGCUGUCAUUGUUGGAGCCAUUCUUUUCGUCCCAGGUGAAUAUUCAACAAAGAAUUCUUGUGGACUUGGUUUAAUUGUAGUUCCUACAGUAAUUUUAAUAUUACUUCAGUACUGUGUUUUUAUGAUAGGUGUUUGGAUGUCUUCCUUCACUAUCGCCAUAUUGAUCCUGCAGGUACUGGGCUAUGUGCUCUCUGUGGUUGGACUGAGCCUCUGUGUCUCAGAGUGCACCCCAGUGAACGGCCCUCUUCUGAUUUCAGGUUUGGGUAUUAUAGCUCUAGCAGAAUUACUUGGAUUAGUUUAUAUGAAACUUGUUGAAUUCAGAGGCACACCUUCGGUCAGUUGAAGGGCAAGAAGAGAAAAGCUUCCAACCAGAAGACUAUACAACCUCCUAGGAAAGCUGUAGAGGAACCCCUUAAUGAGUAACUGAAGUGAAGUGAUGGACUCUGAUUUGGAACGUAGUAAGACUUGAGAGGAAUACAGUUGUGUUUCAGCACCAUGGCCUUGAUUCACUGUUCAGGAGAAGAAAACGAGAAAAAUAACUGGUUCUCAUCUGUGGGAGAAAGUAAAUCAUUGAUCCUUAAAUGAUUGUUACAGUUAAAUUUUUAUUCAAAGCAUUUGUAAUUUAGUUAAUAAAAGAAUUAUUAUCUGUGUUGUGUGCCCAAUUGAGA